Molecule: RNase P RNA, 384 nt
Filed under: Falsibacillus pallidus
Lineage: Bacteria; Bacillati; Bacillota; Bacilli; Caryophanales; Bacillaceae
Description: Bacillus [pallidus] Bacterial RNase P class B
Rfam family: Bacterial RNase P class B
About the family: Ribonuclease P (RNase P) is a ubiquitous endoribonuclease, found in archaea, bacteria and eukarya as well as chloroplasts and mitochondria. Its best characterised activity is the generation of mature 5'-ends of tRNAs by cleaving the 5'-leader elements of precursor-tRNAs. Cellular RNase Ps are ribonucleoproteins.
Source: Rfam by way of RNAcentral
ACGUUCAGGUAAUCGCUGCAGCUUUGCUGUAGAGGAAAGUCCAUGCUCGCACAGUGCUGAGAUGCCUGUAGUGUUCGUGCCUAGUGAAUUCAUAAGCUAGGGCAGCCCGGUAAUUCUGGGUUGACGGCAGGGAAAACACCUAAGUCGCAAGAUAUGGUGUGACUACUUUGAAAGUGCCACAGUGACGGAGCCUUAUGAGAAAUCAUAAGGGUGGAACGAGGUAAACCCCACGAGCGAGAAACCCAAAUUAUGGUAGGGGCACCUUCUUUGAGGAAUCGAACAAAGAGAAGGACAAGUGCAUUGCAUUUGUAGAUAGAUGAUUACCACCUAAGUACGAGACGAUAGUCGCCUGCAGUACAAAGGUACAGAACAUGGCUUACAGGA